UAUGCUUGUUUUGCUUUUCCUUAAGAUUGGAGUAUUUGCCUUUGCUUAGAUUUUACAUCUCUUGAAUAAUAUCCAUUUUCUUUUCUUUAUCUCUCUCUCUUUUUGUUAUUCUCAAGUAAUUUACAUGAAAGAGCAAAAUAAAGAAAUAAUCUUAUGUAUCAUAUAGAUGUAUAUCAUGCAAACAACAUUUUUAUUGUACUCAAGGAUUCAUAAUUUCUCACAAGUUAUUUUAAAUCAAAAUUUUAAGCAUAAACUUGUGUAUUUCAUGGUUAUGACAUAGGCAAAGAUAUAUUAUAGUUUGGGCAAAUCAUGAAACAAUUUCUAAAAGUAUAAGUCAAUCAAUAUAUAUAUAUAGACAUGAUAUCAAAAAUUAAUAAUUAAAGAUCUUAAUCAUGCCAUAAUAAGAUUUAAGUUAUUGACUUUGCUCAAUUAAUUUAUGAGAGAGGUAUCUAGAAUUACCAAUUCAUUCUGCAUUCUUCAGUCAAAUACCUACUAGAUUUCUUAUGUAUGAACUUUUGGCUGAAGAAGGUCCUCUCUCUUGUUUGCAUGUGAAUAUUUAUUUUAUCUUAUAUGGAGAUAUCCUUCAAGUAGAAAUCUCUCAUUUUCUUGCUCAAAGAUCCUGCAUUAUUAACAAACUCCUUUUCUUUCUUGAAAGAAAGUCAUUAGUUUCUUCAAGAUACAAAACAUUCAUAUAGCAUAUUUCUUAACUGGGUGACUCAAUCAUAAGAUAUGACAAC
RNAcentral lists this long non-coding RNA (737 nucleotides) under Phoenix dactylifera (date palm). RNAcentral describes it as "long non-coding RNA (PDAC_LNC010827)". Lineage: Eukaryota; Viridiplantae; Streptophyta; Magnoliopsida; Arecales; Arecaceae. The record is from RNAcentral.